UCCUCAUUCCAGUGAAAAAUGCCCUAGAACAGUAAAAAUGGAGCAGGUAUCAGGCACAACUAAUAGCCCAAGACACCAAGCUUUGCCACACCCACACGGGCCAUCAGCAGUGAUAAACAUUAAGCAAUAAGCGAACACACCUAACCUACUUUUAAAGCUUGACUUAGUUAUGAUUUAAUAGGGCCGGUAAACCUCGUGCCAGCCACCGCGGUUAUACGAGGGGCCCAAAGAAGCAGACACUCGGCGUAAAUAGUGGUUAGAAUCUAUGCCAAACACUAAAAAUUAAACCAUAUCCUGGACGUAAAACAAAGGAUAGAUGAAACCAAACAUUUUUAAAAACAGGCAAUUUGACCCACGAAAACUAAGAAACAAACUAGGAUUAGAUACCCUACUAUGCUUAGUCGUUAAUAAGAUAUUACUCUACUAAAAUAUCCGCCAGAAAACUACGAGCGAAAAGCUUAAAACUCAAAGGACUUGGCGGUGCUCCAUACCGACUUAGAGGAGCCUGUCCUAUAAUCGAUACUCCACGAUAAACCUUACCAGUCUUUGCCCAAUCAGCCUAUAUACCGCCGUCACCAACCUACCUCAUGAGAGAAAAAUAGUAGGUGUAAAAGCCCAACAGCUAAAACGUCAGGUCAAGGUGUAGCUAAUAGACUGGAAGAGAUGGGCUACAUUUUUUAAUAUAAAAUAUAACGGCACGGUACAAUGAAAUUUCUACCCAAAGGAGGAUUUAAUAGUAAAAUUAACAAGAAAGUUAAUUUUAAACACG
RNAcentral lists this ribosomal RNA (769 nucleotides) under Sceloporus magister (desert spiny lizard). RNAcentral describes it as "partial 12S ribosomal RNA". It matches the Rfam family "Bacterial small subunit ribosomal RNA", at positions 188 to 1370 of the family's 1533-position model. The record is from RNAcentral. Lineage: Eukaryota; Metazoa; Chordata; Lepidosauria; Squamata; Phrynosomatidae.